GUUAUACUCCCGUCCCAAAAUUCUUGUCUUAAAUUUGUCUAGAUACGGAUGUAUCUAAUACUAGAACGUGACUUGAUACAUCCGUAUCUAGACAAAUCUAAGACAAGAAUUUUGGGACGGAGGGAGUACCAU
Triticum aestivum (bread wheat) is the source of this 132-nucleotide non-coding RNA. The record is from Rfam. Lineage: Eukaryota; Viridiplantae; Streptophyta; Magnoliopsida; Poales; Poaceae.